This 1226-nucleotide long non-coding RNA is filed under the name Ailuropoda melanoleuca (giant panda). RNAcentral's name for it is "lncRNA (ENSAMEG00000025432.1)". Lineage: Eukaryota; Metazoa; Chordata; Mammalia; Carnivora; Ursidae. The record is from RNAcentral.
CUAUGCUCAGCAGUCAAGCUUAUCUCCCACUGAAUGGCUACUAUCUAACACCAACCAGAGGGUGGCUCCCUGAUACCUCCUUCCAUUGUCCCCAUCAGAUGAAGAUGGUACCUAUUGAUAGUGAUGCUGCUGCUGCUGAUGGUGAUGAUGAUGAUGGUGGUGAUGGUGAUGAUGGUGAUGAUGAUAGUGGUGAUGGUGAUGAUGGUGAUGGUGAUGGUGGUGAUGAUGGUGAUGAUGAUGGUGAUGAUGGUGAUGGUGAUGGUGGUGAUGAUGGUGAUGGUGAUGAUGGUGAUGGUGGUGAUGGUGAUGGUGAUGGUGAUGGUGGUGAUGAUGGUGAUGAUGGUGAUGGUGGUGAUGAUGGUGAUGGUGAUGGUGAUGAUGAUGAUGGUGAUGAUGGUGAUGGUGGUAAUGGUGGUGAUGAUGAUGGUGAUGAUGGUGAUGGUGGUGAUGAUGGUGAUGGUGAUGAUGGUGAUGGUGGUGAUGGUGGUGAUGAUGAUGGUGAUGAUGGUGAUGAUGGUGAUGAUGAUGAUGAUGAUGGUGAUGAUGAUGAUGAUGAUGAUGAUGAUGAUGGUGAUGGUGAUGAUGAUGAUGAUGAUGAUGAUGAUGAUGGUGAUGAUGAUGGUGAUGAUGAUGAUGAUGAUGAUGGUGAUGAUGAUGGUGAUGGUGAUGAUGAUGAUGAUGAUGGUGAUGAUGAUGAUGGUGAUGGUGGUGAUGAUGGUGAUGAUGGUGGUGGUGAUGAUGGUGAUAGUGGUGAUGAUGGUGAUGGUGAUGAUGGUGAUGAUGAUAAUGGUGAUGAUGGUGAUGAUGAUGGUGAUAGUGGUGAUGAUGGUGAUGGUGAUGAUGGUGAUGAUGGUGAUGAUGAUGGUGAUGAUGAUGGUAAUGGUGGUGAUGGUGAUGGUGGUGAUGAUGGUGAUGAUGGUGAUGAUGGUGUGGUAAUGAUAAUACUGUUCAUGGUGAUCACGAUCAUGAUUAUGGUGGUGAUGAUGAUGGUGAUGAUGGUGGUAAUGAUGGUGGUGAUGAUGGUGAUCAUGAUGAUGACAGUGAUGAUGAGGAUGAGAAUGAUGGUGGUUAUGGUAGUGACAAUGAACACUUAGAUGGAACCACAGGUGCCAGCCCCUAGCCUAAGCCCUUCACACAUAUUAACCCGUUUGUUUCUCAUAAUUGCCCCUGAAUGAGGAAAUAUAAUUACCUCCAAUUUACAGAUAAGGAAGCUGAGCCCUAAAGAG